This is a long non-coding RNA of Pygocentrus nattereri (red-bellied piranha), 373 nucleotides long. RefSeq lists it as uncharacterized. The record is from RefSeq and is a predicted model, not a curated record. NCBI's taxonomy places the organism in Eukaryota, Metazoa, Chordata, Actinopteri, Characiformes, Serrasalmidae. The transcript has 3 exons.
UUCUAAAAAAGACCAUGAAGUGUGGAGUCUGCAAGCUGCAUAUGAGGCUUGAGAAGUGCAGGACUGCUGAUGGAUUACGCUGGACAUGCACCAAGUUCCACAAAAAAGUGAAAAAGUCUGUACGACAGAACUCCAUUUUCUACAAAUCACACUCAAGUUUGAAAAAAUGGAUGCAGUUCAUUUACAGGUUUUCACAAGGACUUCGCCUUCGUCAACUGGACAUGAUAAGUGAUGGAAUUGCUGGAAGCUCUGUUACUUUGACAAGAAUGGCACAGAUCAUGAGAAAGGUAUAUGUGAAGCAUUUCUGACCAUAAAUAAGUUAAAACACACACAGAUUUCAAUGGAACACAAACUGCAGCUAUGACAGUGUGAU